Molecule: ribosomal RNA, 492 nt
Filed under: uncultured bacterium
Lineage: Bacteria
Description: partial 16S ribosomal RNA
Rfam family: Bacterial small subunit ribosomal RNA
Source: RNAcentral
GAUGAACGCUAGCUACAGGCUUAACACAUGCAAGUCGAGGGGAAACGGCAUCGAAAGCUUGCUUUUGAUGGGCGUCGACCGGCGCACGGGUGAGUAACGCGUAUCCAACCUGCCCAUCACUUGGGAAUAACCUUGCGAAAGUAAGACUAAUGCCCAAUGACAUCCCACGAAGGCAUCCGAAUGGGAUUAAAGAUUUAUCGGUGAUGGAUGGGGAUGCGUCUGAUUAGCUUGUUGGCGGGGUGACGGCCCACCAAGGCAACGAUCAGUAGGGGUUCUGAGAGGAAGGUCCGCCACAUUGGAACUGAGACACGGUCCAAACUCCUACGGGAGGCAGCAGUGAGGAAUAUUGGUCAAUGGGCGAGAGCCUGAACCAGCCAAGUAGCGUGCAGGAUGACGGCCCUAUGGGUUGUAAACUGCUUUUAUAAGGGAAUAAAGUGGGUCACGUGUGACUUUUUGCAUGUACCUUAUGAAUAAGAACCGGCUAAUUCCGUG